GAUGAACGCUGGCGGCGUGCCUAAUACAUGCAAGUCGAGCGAACGGACGAGAAGCUUGCUUCUCUGAUGUUAGCGGCGGACGGGUGAGUAACACGUGGAUAACCUACCUAUAAGACUGGGAUAACUUCGGGAAACCGUAGCUAAUACCGGAUAAUAUUUUGAACCGCAUGGUUCAAAAGUGAAAGACGGUCUUGCUGUCACUUAUAGAUGGAUCCGCGCUGCAUUAGCUAGUUGGUAAGGUAACGGCUUACCAAGGCAACGAUGCAUAGCCGACCUGAGAGGGGGAACGGCCACACUGGAACUGAGAAACGGCCCAGACUCCUACGGGGGGCAGCAGUGGGGAAUCUUCCGCAAUGGGCGAAAGCCUGACGGAGCAACGCCGGGGGGGUGAUGAAGGGUUUGGGAUCGUAAAACUCUGUUAUUAGGGAAAAACAAAUGUGUAAGUAACUGUGAACAUCUGGACGGUACCAAAUAAAAAAGCCCCGGCUAACUACGU
This 496-nucleotide ribosomal RNA is filed under the name uncultured bacterium. RNAcentral's name for it is "partial 16S ribosomal RNA". It matches the Rfam family "Bacterial small subunit ribosomal RNA", at positions 28 to 506 of the family's 1533-position model. The record is from RNAcentral.